GGAUUAGAUACCCUGGUAGUCCACGCCGUAAACGAUGUCAACUAGCCGUUGGGCCUAUUAAAAGGUUUAGUGGCGCAGCUAACGCGAUAAGUUGACCGCCUGGGGAGUACGGUCGCAAGACUAAAACUCAAAUGAAUUGACGGGGGCCCGCACAAGCGGUGGAGCAUGUGGUUUAAUUCGAUGCAACGCGAAGAACCUUACCAUCCCUUGACAUCCUCAGAACUUGUAAGAGAUUACUUGGUGCCUUCGGGAACUGAGUGACAGGUGCUGCAUGGCUGUCGUCAGCUCGUGCCG
Molecule: ribosomal RNA, 294 nt
Filed under: uncultured bacterium
Lineage: Bacteria
Description: partial 16S ribosomal RNA
Rfam family: Bacterial small subunit ribosomal RNA
Source: RNAcentral